RNAcentral lists this ribosomal RNA (877 nucleotides) under uncultured bacterium. RNAcentral's name for it is "bacterial SSU rRNA". It matches the Rfam family "Bacterial small subunit ribosomal RNA", at positions 8 to 885 of the family's 1533-position model. The record is from RNAcentral.
AGAGUUUGAUCCUGGCUCAGAUUGAACGCUGGCGGAAUGCUUUACACAUGCAAGUCGAACGGUAGAGGGGGCAACCCCUUGAGAGUGGCGAACGGGUGAGUAAUAUAUCGGAACGUGCCCAGUCGUGGGGGAUAACGUAGUGAAAAUUACGCUAAUACCGCAUACGAUCUAAGGAUGAAAGCGGGGGAUCGCAAGACCUCGCGCGACUGGAGCGGCCGAUAUCAGAUUAGGUAGUUGGUAGGGUAAAGGCCUACCAAGCCAACGAUCUGUAGCUGGUCUGAGAGGACGACCAGCCACACUGGAACUGAGACACGGUCCAGACUCCUACGGGAGGCAGCAGUGGGGAAUUUUGGACAAUGGGCGAAAGCCUGAUCCAGCCAUUCCGCGUGCAGGAUGAAGGCCCUCGGGUUGUAAACUGCUUUUGUACAGAGCGAAGAGGUUUCUAUUAAUACUAGGAGCUCAUGACGGUACUGUAAGAAUAAGCACCGGCUAACUACGUGCCAGCAGCCGCGGUAAUACGUAGGGUGCAAGCGUUAAUCGGAAUUACUGGGCGUAAAGCGUGCGCAGGCGGUUAUAUAAGUCAGAUGUGAAAUCCCCGGGCUCAACCUGGGAACUGCAUUUGAGACUGUAUAGCUAGAGUACGGUAGAGGGGGAUGGAAUUCCGCGUGUAGCAGUGAGAUGCGUAGAUAUGCGGAGGAACACCGAUGGCGAAGGCAAUCCCCUGGACCUGUACUGACGCUCAUGCACGAAAGCGUGGGGAGCAAACAGGAUUAGAUACCCUGGUAGUCCACGCCCUAAACGAUGUCAACUGGUUGUUGGGUCUUAACUGACUCAGUAACGAAGCUAACGCGUGAAGUUGACCGCCUGGGGAGUACGG